GCCCUUAUAGCUCAGUGGUAGAGCGCGUCACUAGUACUAGCACCUCGAGAAGUCGAGUGGGUAUGACGAGGUCGUAGGUUCGACUCCUACUGAGGGCA
Molecule: non-coding RNA, 98 nt
Organism: Cephalotrichum gorgonifer
Lineage: Eukaryota; Fungi; Ascomycota; Sordariomycetes; Microascales; Microascaceae
Source: the annotation of a GenBank genome assembly